AAGGAGAGCGCGGCGAUGUACUGCGAGCUCACGGAGGUGAUGGUCGUGCUCUUGGACCGCUUCGCCGACCUGGGCACUCCUGCCUGCGUGCGCGUCCACUCCAUCUUCACCAGUACUGCUUGGAAUUUGGGUAUGCUGAGUUCACGCUUCACAGACAGAACUGCUUGGAAUUUGGGUAUGCUGAUAUUUUAGAGCUCCUAGACAUCUUGUUUCUUUUGCUGAUUCUGAGUUACAAGUUCCUAACUACAGGAUUCACGUUUUCUUUCCUUUAUUUAUAUGAAGAAUUAGUCUGAUGCUUGACUACUUUCUGUUAGAUAAUAAUAGCCCUGGAUGUAUGGUUAUUUUGAGACACACAACAUUUUUUCCGAGGCAUUGUGGUUAGAAUAUCCGAGCCUUUGAUUGGAUAAGAUGUGUUUGAGUGCCAAUGAGACAAAUCCUUCUCAAAAUAAGAGAAGCCUGAAAAUUUGAUGUUUUUGUUGUGUUCUUCCUUUUUUCUAGAGACAACAUCUCAUCACAAGCUGUGUAUUAUGAUGUAAUGUUCUGGAACCCCAGAUAUAUUUCUGUGAAGAAUACUGUUUUGUUUGUGAUGCACUUUGACAGUUUGACUUAGGGCUGGUUUGUAAAACCCGUCCAUGGUUUGGCAAGCACAAUAUUUGAUUAUUUUUUUUACCUCCAUGUUCAGAUGUCGGGACCUAAUAAAUCUCCAUUUAGUGGAGUGGCUGAUGAUUUGAAAGGAAGAGCAGGUUGCUACAAACAAGACUGGAACCAUGGAUUUCGUUCUGGUUUAAGGUUUGCACAACACCAUGUUGUAAUUGCUUGACAUGUCAUCAUUACUUAAUUAGCCUGUUGUGUUCACUGUGCUACAUGAAUUCUGUUGUCAGGAUACUGGCACCUACGCUCUACAUAUUCUUUGCAUCUACAGUCCCUGUUAUAGCCUUUGGGGAGCAAUUGAGCAAAGAUACAGGUUGGUUAUCCUGCUCUCACCGUCAGGAUGAAUAUUUGAUCUGGGGUUGCUGUCAUGACACACUGCACUUUCCGUCUACCCCUCUCUCUCCUGCUCAGUAAAAAAGAAAAAGGGGAAAUUAACAGCAUAUCAAGUGUUGUUUGAAACUGGGAAUAUGAAAAAAAUAAUAACAGUUUGGUCCAUUGAUUGCAAUUCAAAUUGUAGAAUAGAGUAUUAAAAAAGUAAAUCCUAAAUCCUUUUUCUUAGGCACAGUUUCUGACAAUUAAACUGACAUGUUUCAGAUAGUGCACUAACCACAGUUGAGACAUUAGCAUCAGCGGCUAUUUGUGGCAUCGUACAUUCAAUAAUAGGUGGACAACCACUAUUGAUCGUGGGUGUUGCAGAACCGACAAUUAUCAUGUACACUUAUAUCUACAAUUUUGCCAAAAAUCAGCCAAACCUGGGAGAAAAAAUGUUUCUGCCAUGGGCUGCCUGGUAAGGACUUAAAACUAUAAUAUAUCCUGCAUUAGUUUUUCAAUCACCCAACUAAAUGCUAAUUGUAUUUCCUUUUCAUUGGGCAUUUGAUAGGGUUUGCAUCUGGACAGCUGUUAUGCUGUUCCUCAUGGCAAUUUUCAACGUUGCAGCUAUUCUAAACAAAUUUACCAGGUUUGCAGGAGAACUUUUUGGAAUGUUAAUCACAGUUUUUUUAUGCAAGAGGCGAUAAAGGUAUGCAAUUUACAUCUGUUAAAUCUGAAUGAUUUAGUUUUAGCUGCUGAUCGCAUAAUAUGCCAUAUAUAGGGGAUGGUUGGUGAAUUCAGUGCCCCUGACGGUAGUAAUCAAAGUCAAUCAACAUUCCAGUUCCAGUGGCUAUAUAUUAAUGGUUUGCUUGGAUUUAUCUUUUCAAUGGGUGUACUAUAUACUGCAUUAGCUAGCAGGAGCGUAAGGUCAUCGCUAUAUGGCACUGGUUUGUCAUAUGGCACAUACGUACUUCCGUUUCCAUUAUGGUUAAUUCAACACAAUAAUUACUAAUGCUCCAGAUAAUACCUGCAGCAUGGCAAAGGAGCUUAAUUGCGGACUACGGUGUUCCACUGAUGGUGAUACUUUGGACAUCAUUGUCAUAUUCAUUGCCAAGCAGGAUCCCUUCAGGGGUCCCUAGGAGGCUCUUCACCCCACUUCCUUGGGAACCCAAGUCGCUCCAGCAUUGGACAGUAGCAAAAGUAAUUAGGCAGUUUGUUACAAUGACUUCAGGAUCUUCUGCUUUUUAUGACUUCCACUUUCUUCAUUGAUGGUCUUGCAGGAUCUGUUUUCAGUCCCUACAGUACAUAUAUUCCUGGCUAUUGUGCCUGCCACCAUGGUCGCAGGGCUCUCUUUCUUUGACCACAGUGUAGCUUCCCAGAUGAGUCAGCAGAAGUAAUUUAAUUUGAAGAACCCAUCAGCCUACCAUUAUGACAUUUUGGUCCUGAGCUUGACAGUAUGUCAUAUAUGCUGAUUUGUAGUUACCUCUUUGACAUAACAUCGUUUUAAAUUAGGGAUGUCACUUAAUAAAAAAACGUUUUACCAAUGAAUUCGCGCUGCUUGUUGGAACUGGAAAAACAUAAGAAAUUAAUGGUGGGACAUAGUAGUUAAGUAGCAUUUUCAUAAACAAACAUGAUAUCAGACUCUUUAUUAAUGUGUUUCUUGUUCUCAUACCAUGGAAAUGUGGUGUAGACCUUGAUCUGUGGUGUGGUCUUCUUGGCAUUCCUCCAUCUAAUGGAGUACUCCCCCAGUCUCCGAUGCAUACAAGAAGCCUAGCGGUCCUCAAGAGGCAGGUUGGUGUUCAGAUGCAUAGAUAGAUGUGGUCUGUUAUACAAUUAAAUUUGCUCACAUCUCCCCUCUCUAGCUCUCUUUCAUUUUAAAUAGUUGCUUUGCAAGAAGAUGGUCCAAACUGCCAAGGAGGGCAUGAUGAAUAAUGCUACCAGUUCCGAAGUUUAUGUCAAAAUGCAAGAUGUUUUCAUAAAAAUGGACCACGGAGGCGACGUGAGUACUAUAUCCACCAAACAUUUACACUAUCACAUGCCAUGUUCUUCUCACUACAUUACUAAAGCUCUGUUAGUUGUCGUGGUGGCUUAUCAAUUAUUUCAGAUGACAGAUGCUAGAGUUAGUUGAAGGAUUUUCAUAAAACUAUAACAGUGACUUAUUUCUAUUGUUUGUAAAAGGUAACUGCAUAGUGUCCCUAAAUUACAACAUUGUUCCAUUUUGUUUUGCUUUCUCUUUCAAAGGUUUUCUACUUUUGUUGCAAGUGUUGUAAUGUUACUGUCUGUGUCUGAUAUCAUUCCCCUACUAAUUGUUUCAGAAAUUUGCUCCAGAAAAUACUUAUGUAAGAAACAAAAAAAGAAAGAAAAUAUCGUUAACUACCCUGGAGGCACUAACAGUUCUCCUGUAAAUUUGUGCAGACUGUUUCUGCUCACAAAGAACUGAAGGACCUGAAGGAUGCAAUUAUUCCAGAAGGGAAUGGAUCAAGAACAGUGCCUGAAGUAUUUGAUCCUGAAAAGCAUGUAGAUGCUUACUUGCCUGUCCGGGUGAAUGAGCAGAGAGUAAGCAAUCUGUUGCAGUCCCUGUUGAUUACUGGUUGUAUUGGAGUUACACCGCUCAUUCAGAAGAUACCAACAUCAGUCCUCUGGGGUUACUUCGCCUAUAUGUCCAUCGACAGCCUUCCUGGAAACCAGUUCUGGGAGAGGAUACAGCUUCUUUUCAUCACGCCUCAAAGACGCUACAAGUAUGCCUUGUUAGCUAUAGUAAAUUUUCAUGUCUUGUCACCUUAGGUUACCUAUGAAGAAAGGACUUGUGUGCUCAACCAAGAGUUUUGAUCUAGGAAGCUAGACAUAGGAGUGCUCAUUUGUCUGUUUUAACUCUGGCAGGGUUCUUGAAGGAGCACAUGCAUCCUUCAUGGAGUCAGUGCCUUUCAACACAAUAUGCACCUUCACACUCUUCCAGCUAAUCUAUCUGUUGAUCGUCUUUGGGAUGACAUGGAUACCAGUAGCAGGAAUCCUCUUCCCACUGCUCUUCUUCUUCCUCAUUAUCAUCAGGUAGCACUUCAUCCCGAAAUAUUUUGAUCCGAGCCACCUGAGGGAAUUAGAUGCAGCCGAGUACGAAGAACUGAAAGGUUUUACACCUGAUCCAUCAGUGGUAAGAAGUCUUGAUCUACCUGGUUUUAUCGAUUUCCCGUUAGCAUAUACUAUUCAACAAAGGCUACUUCAUUCAUCUGUGUAUUGUUAACAUGCCCCUUCUCACGCAGUGUGAGGACGAGUCUGUUCGCAGCGGAGAUGCUCAGCCUGGAUAUGCUUCCGAAAUACUCGAGGAAUUCACGACUCACCGUGGAGAGCUGAAGCGCAGGAACUCUACCUUCCAUGAUGGGAGACUACUUCAGGUAACAUUUUCGCGCAAACAUUAGUGUCUCUGGUUUUCGUAAGAUUAAUUAAUUAAAGGUUUCCCGUUCAUUUCUGGAGUUGGAACUCAUUUCUGGAGUUGGAACUUGAUAUUUCCUUUAUUAUUUUGGUUUGGCAGCUUAACUCUGUCAAGAUGACGAGAGAGCUUUCUCGGGUUCCUUCUUGGCUUACAAGAAUCCUGGAAGAAUACGCGGUUUCUGAAUCCGAGCUCCAAUUAAGCAUGGGGGUGCGAAGUCUCAUAGCCUCAUUGCUUACAGAGUAUUCUCUGAAGCAAGCAACUCAUUUUAGGUACUGACUUUGGGGGCAAAUACACGGGGAUGAGCAGAGGAAUGUAGCAGAGCUAGAAAAUGUUUGUAAAAAAUAAAGACAAAAAGAAAUGCAUGUUAAACACAUCUAAGCUUCAAUUCAGUUUUGUGAUUUUUUAUUUUUUAUUUUUUAUUUUUGCAUAUUAUAGUGAUGUUUGUUGUUCCUUAUCUAUGUUUUAUACCAACUUUUUUUACUUCCGUUGCAACGCACGGGCACAUACCUAGUAUAUAUAUAUAUAUAGGUAACAAAGGAACUUCACACAUCGAAAUAGACGAGGACUUCCAUGAAGACUAAAUUUUGCAGAUAAAAAAAAGGCAUAUUUUCUGUAGUGCUCUUAACAUGCUUCUGCAGCCCCUUCAAAACCAGUACUUUUGGUUUACCUCCAUAAAGACUGAACAUUGCAGUUCAAAAUAACACAUAUUUUCUGUAGCGCUCAUUAGCUUGCUUUUCUGGCCUUUAAGACCAGCGUUUUUUGUUCGUAUAAAUGUAGGUACGCCUACUAUAAUAUAAUCUCCAAGAUCCUGAUGCUGCUACGUUUCCAAAAACUUCAAUCCUUCAUCACAUACACUUUUCUGGCCUUCAAUGCUUUUAUGUUCAUGCCUUAUCAAGCUGAGCUGCAAUUCUGUUGGUUGAAUCGUGAUGCCGGCAUGCCGCUAUGUUGUUGACUGUCCAGCUUUGCACCAAACCGUGAAAUGCUUUCGUUCAUAUUGAAAGUAUGUUCAUAAAAAUGUCAUGUCAUGUCAACCUCCGGUGCAGGGAUUUGGGUUACCCUCCUAUUUGACGCGUAUUAAUUCAACUGUUUACAUGUGUCGUUUGUAAAAACUGGCGAGAACCACGAGCCCUUUAAUAGUAAAAGAAAGGUUGGAGCACUCAAGAGACCAGUAAGAUGUGUAGAAAGAGAAAGUGGGCCGAAAAUGGAGGAAGUUGAGGGGAAAUCGAACUCAUUUUCACUGAAUUACCUAAAAUCCCAAAAAUUGUGAACAUUUAA
RNA transcript from Zea mays, 5662 nucleotides. It is a transcript of the gene named boron transporter 4-like, with no coding region annotated. The transcript has a single exon. Lineage: Eukaryota; Viridiplantae; Streptophyta; Magnoliopsida; Poales; Poaceae. The record is from RefSeq and is marked validated.